Molecule: long non-coding RNA, 650 nt
Filed under: Anas platyrhynchos platyrhynchos (common mallard)
Lineage: Eukaryota; Metazoa; Chordata; Aves; Anseriformes; Anatidae
Description: lncRNA (ENSAPLG00000018020.1)
Source: RNAcentral
UAGUCUAAAGGAAGUUAUUAUUGCAUAGAAAAGCUUGCCCCUGACAAAAGCAUUGCUUGCUUGUUGGAGACCUAGCAGUUCGUUAGGAAUCUGUUUUAUUACAGUGAAACAUCGUCUGUGUGGCAGCAAAGUACUCUGGAGCAGGUGUAAGCAAAGUGAACCUAAGUGUGAAAAAGAAUUUAAGCUUUGAGCCUGAAAAGUGGGUCUUGCAGAAGUCUGAUCAUGGAAGUCACAUGGGAUUUAGAAACUGCAGAUGAGUAUGGCACCAAGAUAGACCACUGUCUACUGCAGCCUGGACUGAGAUAGUCACUCUCAUGAUAAAUGUAAUUACAAAUGGUUUUUUUGACUAGAUGUUGGUAUUGGACAACUGUAUCUCUACGUUCCCUAGUGUUCCAUCUCCCAGGAUUGUAUCCAAAUGAAAAACAGAAGUCUCAACUGAGAUGGAGUGGAAAACUCCUGAGCAGGUAACGCUGAUAGAGUAAUACAAGACAGAAGACGGAGGGGAAAAACUAGCUAUGCAAGACUAGUGCUGCUGAAAAAAUGAAUGGGGCUACACCUAAUUUGUCUUAGAUGCUCUCAUGACAGCUCUCAUUUGGAUAAGCAUUACCCAUAAAUCUUCUUUCUAAUAAAGACUUACAAAACUGGAAACA